GAUGAACGCUGGCGGCGUGCCUAAUACAUGCAAGUCGAGCGAACAGAUAAGGAGCUUGCUCCUUUGACGUUAGCGGCGGACGGGUGAGUAACACGUGGGUAACCUACCUAUAAGACUGGGAUAACUUCGGGAAACCGGAGCUAAUACCGGAUAAUAUUUCGAACCGCAUGGUUCGAUAGUGAAAGAUGGUUUUGCUAUCACUUAUAGAUGGACCCGCGCCGUAUUAGCUAGUUGGUAAGGUAACGGCUUACCAAGGCGACGAUACGUAGCCGACCUGAGAGGGUGAUCGGCCACACUGGAACUGAGACACGGUCCAGACUCCUACGGGGGGCAGCAGUAGGGAAUCUUCCGCAAUGGGCGAAAGCCUGACGGAGCAACGCCGCGUGAGUGAUGAAGGUCUUCGGAUCGUAAAACUCUGUUAUUAGGGAAGAACAUACGUGUAAGUAACUGUGCACGUCUUGACGGUACCUAAUCAGAAAGCCACGGCUAACUACGUG
RNAcentral lists this ribosomal RNA (497 nucleotides) under uncultured bacterium. RNAcentral's name for it is "partial 16S ribosomal RNA". It matches the Rfam family "Bacterial small subunit ribosomal RNA", at positions 28 to 507 of the family's 1533-position model. The record is from RNAcentral.